RNAcentral lists this ribosomal RNA (465 nucleotides) under uncultured bacterium. RNAcentral's name for it is "bacterial SSU rRNA". It matches the Rfam family "Bacterial small subunit ribosomal RNA", at positions 338 to 795 of the family's 1533-position model. The record is from RNAcentral.
CCUACGGGUGGCAGCAGUGGGGAAUUUUGGACAAUGGGGGCAACCCUGAUCCAGCCAUGCCGCGUGCGGGAAGAAGGCCUUCGGGUUGUAAACCGCUUUUAUCCGGAAAGAAGGAGUGCAGGUUAAUACCCUGCAUGACGGACGGUACCGGAGGAAUAAGCACCGGCUAACUACGUGCCAGCAGCCGCGGUAAUACGUAGGGUGCGAGCGUUAAUCGGAAUUACUGGGCGUAAAGCGUGCGCAGGCGGUUCGUUAAGUCAGCUGUGAAAGCCCCGGGCUCAACCUGGGAACUGCGGUUGAAACUGGCGGACUAGAAUCUGGCAGAGGGGGGUGGAAUUCCACGUGUAGCAGUGAAAUGCGUAGAGAUGUGGAGGAACACCGAUGGCGAAGGCAGCCCCCUGGGCUGAGAUUGACGCUCAGGCACGAAAGCGUGGGGAGCAAACAGGAUUAGAUACCCUUGUAGUC